AGUGAACGCUGGCGGUAGGCCUAACACAUGCAAGUCGAACGGCAGCACAGUAAGAGCUUGCUCUUACGGGUGGCGAGUGGCGGACGGGUGAGGAAUACAUCGGAAUCUACUUUUUCGUGGGGGAUAACGUAGGGAAACUUACGCUAAUACCGCAUACGACCUACGGGUGAAAGCAGGGGAUCUUCGGACCUUGCGCGAUUGAAUGAGCCGAUGUCGGAUUAGCUAGUUGGCGGGGUAAAGGCCCACCAAGGCGACGAUCCGUAGCUGGUCUGAGAGGAUGAACAGCCACACUGGAACUGGGACACGGGCCAGACUCCUACGGGAGGCAGCAGUUGGGAAUAUUGGACAAUGGGCGCAAGCCUGAUCCAGCCAUACCGCGUGGGUGAAGAAGGCCUUCGGGUUGUAAAGCCCUUUUGUUGGGAAAGAAAAGCAGCAGGUUAAUACCCCGCUGUUCUGACGGUACCCAAAGAAUAAGCACCGGCUAACUUCGU
Molecule: ribosomal RNA, 491 nt
Filed under: uncultured bacterium
Lineage: Bacteria
Description: partial 16S ribosomal RNA
Rfam family: Bacterial small subunit ribosomal RNA
Source: RNAcentral